RNAcentral lists this long non-coding RNA (474 nucleotides) under Heterocephalus glaber (naked mole-rat). Its description in RNAcentral is "lncRNA (ENSHGLG00000048904.1)". Lineage: Eukaryota; Metazoa; Chordata; Mammalia; Rodentia; Bathyergidae. The record is from RNAcentral.
AGGACCCUUCUGUCCAACUAAGAAGGUUCAGAGGACCACGGGAAGAACAGAUCUGAGAGGUCUCGUAGCAGGUUCACACAGACUCUUAAUAGGUCAGCAAGGUGCAGAGAAAAAUAGCCUGGACCUGCACAGAAGAGCUGACACCAAGCAAGCAACUGGCUGCAUCCACUGAAUUGUUGAAGGAGAGAAAACAGGAAGGACAGAGAUAGGGAAGGAAGCUAUGUUCCUGCACUUGAAAUAAGAGCUCGUGGAAGAGUAAAGAUGUCCUCAUAAGAGACCAUGUGAUUACAGGAGAGGCUGUGAACAGAGCUGUCAGUCCAUGGGGAACAGAAAGGCAGAAGAACAUUGCAGAAACAAAAACAGAGGCAGAUGAUAUAAUCAGGUCUUGACAGACAGACCUGGGGGGAAAUCUUGUGAAUUAAGUAUUAAGAAGAACCAGAGAGGGCCGGGGAUUUAGCUCAGUGGCACAGCGCC